UAGAUGAAAAAAAACUUUGAAAAGAGAGUUAAACAGUACGUGAAAUUGCUGAAAGGGAAACGCUUGAAGUCAGUCGCGUCGUCCGGAACUCAGCCUUGCUUUUGCUUGGUGCACUUUCCGGUUGACGGGUCAGCAUCGAUUUUGACCGUCGGAAAAGGGCUGGAGUAAUGUGGCACCCUCGGGUGUGUUAUAGACUCUGGUCGCAUACGGCGGUUGGGAUCGAGGAACGCAGCGCGCCGUAAGGCAGGGGUUCGCCCACUUUCGCGCUUAGGAUGCUGGCAUAAUGGCUUUAAACGACCCGUCUUGAAACACGGACCAAGGAGUCUAACAUACCUGCGAGUGUUUGGGUGGAAAACCCGAGCGCGUAAUGAAAGUGAAAGUUGAGACCCCUGUCGUGGGGGGCAUCGACGCCCGGACCUGACGUUCUCUGAAGGAUCCGCGGUAGAGCAUGUAUGUUGGGACCCGAAAGAUGGUGAACUAUGCCUGAAUAGGGUGAAGCCAGAGGAAACUCUGGUGGAGGCUCGUAGCGAUUCUGACGUGCAAAUCGAUCGUCAAAUUUGGGUAUAGGGGCGAAAGACUAAUCGAACCCUCCUUGGC
Molecule: ribosomal RNA, 597 nt
Filed under: Ganoderma boninense
Lineage: Eukaryota; Fungi; Basidiomycota; Agaricomycetes; Polyporales; Polyporaceae
Description: partial large subunit ribosomal RNA
Rfam family: Eukaryotic large subunit ribosomal RNA
Source: RNAcentral